The sequence is a ribosomal RNA, 642 nucleotides long. It matches the Rfam family "Bacterial small subunit ribosomal RNA", at positions 28 to 654 of the family's 1533-position model.
GAUGAACGCUGGCGGCGUGCCUAAUACAUGCAAGUAGAACGCUGAAAGAAGGAGCUUGCUCUUUCUGGAUGAGUUGCGAACGGGUGAGUAACGCGUAGGUAACCUGCCUCUUAGCGGGGGAUAACUAUUGGAAACGAUAGCUAAUACCGCAUAAAAGUCGACAUUGCAUGAAGUUGACUUGAAAGGUGCAAAUGCAUCACUAAGAGAUGGACCUGCGUUGUAUUAGCUGGUUGGAGGGGUAACGGCCCACCAAGGCGACGAUCAGUAGCCGGUCUGAGAGGAUGAACGGCCACAUUGGAACUGAGACACGGUCCAGACUCCUACGGGAGGCAGCAGUGGGGAAUCUUCCGCAAUGGGCGAAAGCCUGACGGAGCAACGCCGCGUGAGUGAAGACGGCCUUCGGGUUGUAAAACUCUGUUAUAGGGGACGAACGGCCGGGUAGCGAAGAGGUAGCCGGCAUGACGGUACCGUAAGAGAAAGCCACGGCUAACUACGUGCCAGCAGCCGCGGUAAUACGUAGGUGGCAAGCGUUGUCCGGAAUGAUUGGGCGUAAAGGGCGCGCAGGCGGCUGUGUAAGUCUGUCCAGAAAGUGCGGGGCUAAACCCCGUGAGAGGAUGGAAACUGGACAGCUGAGAGUGUCGG